Molecule: ribosomal RNA, 253 nt
Filed under: uncultured bacterium
Lineage: Bacteria
Description: partial 16S ribosomal RNA
Rfam family: Bacterial small subunit ribosomal RNA
Source: RNAcentral
UACGUAGGGGGCAAGCGUUGUCCGGAAUUAUUGGGCGUAAAGAGCGUGUAGGCGGCCAGAUAAGUCCGCUGUGAAAUCCCGAGGCUCAACUUCGAGCUGUCGGUGGAAACUGUCUGGCUAGAGUCCGGAAGAGGAGAAUGGAAUUCCUGGUGUAGCGGUGAAAUGCGCAGAUAUCAGGAAGAACACCCGUGGCGAAGGCGGUUCUCUGGGACGGUACUGACGCUGAGACGCGAAAGCGUGGGGAGCGAACAGG